RNAcentral lists this RNase P RNA (378 nucleotides) under Anabaenopsis arnoldii. RNAcentral's name for it is "RNase P RNA component class A". It matches the Rfam family "Bacterial RNase P class A". Rfam says of the family: Ribonuclease P (RNase P) is a ubiquitous endoribonuclease, found in archaea, bacteria and eukarya as well as chloroplasts and mitochondria. Its best characterised activity is the generation of mature 5'-ends of tRNAs by cleaving the 5'-leader elements of precursor-tRNAs. Cellular RNase Ps are ribonucleoproteins. RNAcentral also lists the same sequence under 1 other name. Lineage: Bacteria; Bacillati; Cyanobacteriota; Cyanophyceae; Nostocales; Nodulariaceae. The record is from RNAcentral.
AGAGUAGGCGCAGGCGGUUGCAGAUCAGUUACAGUGACUGGUUUGAGGAAAGUCCGGGCUCCCCAAAGACCAAACUUGCUGGAUAACCCCCAGUGCGAGCGAUCGCGAGGAUAGUGCCACAGAAAGAUACCGCCUUUUUUUUAAAGGUAAGGGUGCAAAGGUGCGGUAAGAGCGCACCAGCACAACCGAGAGGUUGUGGCUCGGUAAACCCCGGUUGGGAGCAAGGCGAAAGGAAACUAAGGUUGGUCUUUUACCAGUUUCCAAUGAUUAGAGCCGCUCGAGGCGUUUGGUAACAAGCGUCCCAGAUAGAUAACUGCCCUCAAAGGUGUUUUUUAACAGUCGGCGAGAACAGAACCCGGCUUAUGUCCGACUCUCUCC